AGAGUUUGAUCCUGGCUCAGGACGAACGCUGGCGGCGGGCUUAACACAUGCAAGUCGCGGGAGAAGGGGGUCCUUCGGGACCCCUGGAGACCGGCGGAUGGGUGAGUAACGCGUAGGCAAUCUGCCUACAGGACGGGGAUAACGUUCCGAAAGGAACGCUAAUACCCGAUGAUGCAGCGGGGGCGUAUGCCCGCCGCUGUCAAAGGCUUCGGCCACCUGUAGAGGAGCCUGCGUGCCAUUAGCUGGUUGGUGCGGUAACGGCGCACCAAGGCGAUGAUGGCUAGGGGGUCUGAGAGGAUGAUCCCCCACACUGGGACUGAGACACGGCCCAGACUCCUACGGGAGGCAGCAGUGAGGAAUCUUGCGCAAUGGGGGCAACCCUGACGCAGCCACGCCGCGUGCUGGAAGACGGCCCUAUGGGUUGUAAACAGCUUUUGGGUAGGAAGAACCUGGGUCUUUCGAGACCCACUGACGGUACUACCAGAAUAAGCACCGGCUAACUCCGUGCCAGCAGCCGCGGUAAUACGGAGGGUGCAAGCGUUGUCCGGAAUUAUUGGGUGUAAAGGGUGCGCAGGCGUCCCGGCAGGUUUUCGGUGAAAUCUUCCCGCUUAACGGGAGAAGGGCCGGAAAAACCGCCGGGAUUGAGUCCGGAAGAGGUUGGUGGAAUUCGUGGUGUAGCGGUGAAAUGCAUAGAGAUCACGAAGAACACCAGUGGCGAAGGCGGCCAACU
This 730-nucleotide ribosomal RNA is filed under the name uncultured bacterium. Its description in RNAcentral is "bacterial SSU rRNA". It matches the Rfam family "Bacterial small subunit ribosomal RNA", at positions 8 to 730 of the family's 1533-position model. The record is from RNAcentral.